UUGCUCACUAUGCUCAGCCCGCCUCUUUCUCCUCUAUUUUCUGAUUUUCUCCCUCCUCUCUCUGUCUCUCAUCUCAGAUCUAGCUCCCUCCUCUCUCUUAGAUCGCUCCUCGGUCCUCAAAACUCCUCUCAAUCAAUCCUAUUUUCAAUCAAUCCUCUUCUCCCUCCUCUCUCUAAGAUCGCUCGUCAAAUAAUAAUUUAGGGUUUCGAUUUCUUGAAGAUCUUCGCACUCUCACUUCAAUUUAGGGCGAAUCUGGGUUCGUUGGAACCCAUGUAUCCAUGGCACUGCGGCAGCGAAAUCCAACGACGACAAAGAUGUAAUUGUUGUUUGCAAGAUUUCAAAGAAUCGGAGCGUUUCUAUGAGGAGUUGACAGGGGAAAGUUAUGGUUGAUAUUCGCGAGUUCUACGUUAAGGAUGGCAAGCAAAUGCCUGGCCGCAAAGCUUGUUUGCAGGAGAUCAAUGGAUUCAUAUUUACCAGGAUAUUGGAUUUGACAUCAUACCUAAGCAGUCCACUCCUUCACUUACUUGGUAACAGGGGCGGAUCUAGGGGGGUUCAAGGGGGUUCAUUGAACCCACAGAUUUUUUGGAAAAAAAUUAUAAGUUUUAAUUUUUUUUUUUUAAAAAAAAAGAAAAAGGGUUAAUACAAAUUUCUGUGAGAAUAAUAAUCACAUGGGUAAGUUUGGUGCAUUGGUAAGGCUUUGAAUAAUAGAGCAGCGCGCCCUUUUAUAAUGUCUUAGGUCUUAGGUUCGACUCCUAUUGCCCUCUUUUUUUGUACUUUUUUUUUUUUUGUUCUUUUACUCCUUACAUUCAAAUUUCAGAUUUCAGAAAUCAAACAUCGACAUUUCUUAUUUUCCCCAAAUUCCCAAACACCAAAACCCUAACCUUGACACCCUAUGACCCUAGCCAGUAGCCACUAGCCGCCGCGGCACCGCACACCGAGACACCAACCGGCGACCGGGAGCACUGACGACCUCACGGAGUGACGGAGACACGGACGAGGGACGACUGUUCUGAAUUCAGACUUCAGAGUUCUUCUACAAUUAUUUCAGAAAUCAAACAUCGACAUUUCUUAUUUUCCCCAAAUUCCCAAACACCAAAACCCUAACCUUGGCACCCUAUGACCCUAGCCAGUAGCCACUAGCCGCCGCGGCACCGCACACCGAGACACCAACCGGCGACCGGGAGCACUGACGACCUCACGGAGUGACGGAGACACGGACGAGGGACGACUGUUCUGAAUUCAGACUUCAGAGUUCUUCUACAAUUGUGAGUCCUCUUAAUCUCUUAUUCCUCUACUCCUAUUAAUUCUUAAUCUUGGUUUGCUUGUUUUAUUUUUUAAAUUGGUUUAUGGUUUUGAUAUAUUGUUGAAUUCUUGAAUUGUUGAGAAAUUGAAUUGUAGAAACUUAGAAGUUAGAAUUAAAAAAAAUUUACUUGUUUUUUUUUUUUUGAAAUAAAAUUUUUACUUGUUCUGUUAAUUGAAAUUUGAUAAUUAGAAGAAGUUUAUCCUGGAUACGCCACUGCUUGAGGAUUUGUACUGCGGAAUCUUUAAUGGACAUUUGGAAAGCUGUGUGGCUCUUUGCUUAGUAGAGUAUUCAAGCUCUGCAAGUUUUCAUGAGCGAAGAUCCACUUUUGGAGAAUGCUCGUCAUCUUCCAAACAUAAUGUUGCCACAUAUAGAGGAUUACAGAGAAGAGCUCUAAAUGUCAAAGAGCCUUCGUGUGUAAAUACAAAUGCAGAAACAGAUACGGAAAAGGGACAAACUCAUGGAGGAAUGCCCCUUGUUUUUGGAGGCUAUUCCAACUCGUGUAUGGGUCUGCAAGUGUCAAACUCAAGUGAAUAACAACAAAUUGAAGGGGUUGUAGAAGGAGAAUUCUUCGUGACUUAGGCAGUGGCGGCGGCUGCUGCUGCUUUUCUACAAGUUGCUGCUGGAUACUAUUGCUGUGACUUUGAUGCUGCUGCUACUGGAUACUCCUAUAUUUUAAUUUUCUAUCUAACAUAAUUAUAGAUUGUAAUUAUACAGUAUAUAGUGUAUUAUAAACACAAAUAAUAUAAAAUUUGUAACAUUUAUGUAUAUGAAUUAGUUAUAGGUUAAGGCUGAAGCUUAUAGUCAGUAGUCCUAAUACUCCUUUGUCCUUCUCUCCUAGUGAGUCUGAUUCUAAGUCUGUUAUUGAUCUCGAUUUUAAGAAGAAAAAACCUCCCUUGAAUUUGGUAUGUUUUA
This is a long non-coding RNA of Chenopodium quinoa (quinoa), 2215 nucleotides long. RefSeq lists it as uncharacterized. The record is from RefSeq and is a predicted model, not a curated record. NCBI's taxonomy places the organism in Eukaryota, Viridiplantae, Streptophyta, Magnoliopsida, Caryophyllales, Amaranthaceae. The transcript is spliced from 6 exons.